RNAcentral lists this ribosomal RNA (384 nucleotides) under uncultured bacterium. Its description in RNAcentral is "bacterial SSU rRNA". It matches the Rfam family "Bacterial small subunit ribosomal RNA", at positions 30 to 416 of the family's 1533-position model. The record is from RNAcentral.
AUUGAACGCUGGCGGCAUGCCUUACACAUGCAAGUCGAACGGUAACAGGUCUUCGGAUGCUGACGAGUGGCGAACGGGUGAGUAAUACAUCGGAACGUGCCCGAUCGUGGGGGAUAACGGAGCGAAAGCUUUGCUAAUACCGCAUACGAUCUACGGAUGAAAGCGGGGGAUCUUCGGACCUCGCGCGGACGGAGCGGCCGAUGGCAGAUUAGGUAGUUGGUGGGAUAAAAGCUUACCAAGCCGACGAUCUGUAGCUGGUCUGAGAGGAUGAUCAGCCACACUGGGACUGAGACACGGCCCAGACUCCUACGGGAGGCAGCAGUGGGGAAUUUUGGACAAUGGGCGCAAGCCUGAUCCAGCCAUGCCGCGUGAGUGAAGAAGGCC